RNAcentral lists this ribosomal RNA (444 nucleotides) under uncultured dinoflagellate. RNAcentral's name for it is "bacterial SSU rRNA". It matches the Rfam family "Bacterial small subunit ribosomal RNA", at positions 954 to 1400 of the family's 1533-position model. The record is from RNAcentral. Lineage: Eukaryota; Dinophyceae.
AUGCAACGCGAAGAACCUUACCAAGGCUUGACAUACUACAGAUUUCUUGAAAGAGGAAAGUGCCUUCGGGAAUGUAGAUACAGGUGGUGCAUGGCUGUCGUCAGCUCGUGUCGUGAGAUGUUGGGUUAAGUCCCGCAACGAGCGCAACCCUUAUUUUUAGUUGCUAAUUUAUUUUAGGUUUUCUAGAAAGACUGCCGGCGACAAACCGGAGGAAGGUGAGGAUGACGUCAAGUCAGCAUGCCCCUUAUGCCUUGGGCUACACACGUGCUACAAUGGUUAAGACAAAGAGUUGCGAGCUCGUGAGAGUCAGCUAAUCUCAUAAACUUAGCCUAAAUUCGGAUUGUAAGCUGCAACUCGCCUGCAUGAAGUCGGAAUCGCUAGUAAUCGCUGGUCAGCCAUACAGCGGUGAAUCCGUUCCCGGGCCUUGUACACACCGCCCGUCAC